AUUGAACGCUGGCGGAAUGCUUUACACAUGCAAGUCGAACGGCAGCACGGGGGCAACCCUGGUGGCGAGUGGCGAGCGGGUGAGUAAUACAUCGGAACGUGCCCAGUCGUGGGGGAUAACGCAGCGAAAGCUGUGCUAAUACCGCAUACGAUCUAUGGAUGAAAGCGGGGGACCGUAAGGCCUCGCGCGAUUGGAGCGGCCGAUGGCAGAUUAGGUAGUUGGUGGGGUAAAGGCUCACCAAGCCGACGAUCUGUAGCUGGUCUGAGAGGACGACCAGCCACACUGGGACUGAGGCACGGCCCAGACUCCUACGGGAGGCAGCAGUGGGGAAUUUUGGACAAUGGGCGCAAGCCUGAUCCAGCCAUUCCGCGUGCAGGAUGAAGGCCCUCGGGUUGUAAACUGCUUUUGUACGGAACGAAAAGCCUUCUUCUAAUACAGGAGGGUCAUGACGGUACCGUAAGAAUAAGCACCGGCUAACUACGUGCCAGCCGCCGCCGUAA
RNAcentral lists this ribosomal RNA (500 nucleotides) under uncultured bacterium. RNAcentral's name for it is "partial 16S ribosomal RNA". It matches the Rfam family "Bacterial small subunit ribosomal RNA", at positions 29 to 523 of the family's 1533-position model. The record is from RNAcentral.